Molecule: non-coding RNA, 46 nt
Filed under: Trichobilharzia regenti
Lineage: Eukaryota; Metazoa; Platyhelminthes; Trematoda; Strigeidida; Schistosomatidae
Source: RNAcentral
GUACUACCGAUGCGUCCCUAAAUAGGACGAAACAGCUGUCCAGUAC